GCGUCCUUAGCUCAACUGGAUAGAGCCGCCGACUUCUACUCGGCUGGUUGGGGGUUCGAGUCCCUCAGGGCGCGCCA
Molecule: transfer RNA, 77 nt
Filed under: Plastoroseomonas arctica
Lineage: Bacteria; Pseudomonadati; Pseudomonadota; Alphaproteobacteria; Acetobacterales; Acetobacteraceae
Also listed under: 1 other name
Description: tRNA-Arg
Rfam family: tRNA
About the family: Transfer RNA (tRNA) molecules are approximately 80 nucleotides in length. Their secondary structure includes four short double-helical elements and three loops (D, anti-codon, and T loops). Further hydrogen bonds mediate the characteristic L-shaped molecular structure. tRNAs have two regions of fundamental functional importance: the anti-codon, which is responsible for specific mRNA codon recognition, and the 3' end, to which the tRNAs corresponding amino acid is attached (by aminoacyl-tRNA synthetases). tRNAs cope with the degeneracy of the genetic code in two manners: having more than one tRNA (with a specific anti-codon) for a particular amino acid; and 'wobble' base-pairing, i.e. permitting non-standard base-pairing at the 3rd anti-codon position.
Source: RNAcentral